RNAcentral lists this ribosomal RNA (416 nucleotides) under Neodorippe callida. Its description in RNAcentral is "partial 16S ribosomal RNA". Lineage: Eukaryota; Metazoa; Arthropoda; Malacostraca; Decapoda; Dorippidae. The record is from RNAcentral.
UUUUUAAAUGGGAAUUCUGGGAAAGAAAGGAUUGGCAAAAAGAAAACUGUCUUUAUUAUAAUAAUAGAAAUUAACUUUUAAGUGAAAAGGCUUAAAUAAAUUAAGGGGACGAUAAGACCCUAUAAAGCUUUAUAAAAUUUUUAUUAUAAAAUAAGUUUGUUAAUUAAUAUAAUAAAUUAUUUAUUUUGCUGGGGCGGCCUAUUAAAAUUUUUAUUAACUAAUUAUUAAUUUUAUCAUUGAUGAAUGAAUAUUUGAUCCUAAGAAAGAUUAAAAAUUUAAGUUACUUUAGGGAUAACAGCGUUAUUUUUUUUGAGAGUUCUUAUUAAAAAAAAAGAUUGCGACCUCGAUGUUGAAUUAGAAAUUACUCUAUAAAGCAGUAUUUAUGGGAGUAGGUCUGUUCGACCUUUAAAUAUCUA